GCCGGAAAUGCCAGGGAGGACCUUUUGCACAAUUGGCCAUCAGCUUGGUUCUGAAAAUGCGUUCUCGGCAUUUUCCACAGGACACGCUUUGAAGCGAGUGGAUGCACAGAGCUUUGAGAGGCGUGGUUAUCACCACCGACCUCACUGCCUCUUGCUCUUAUAUUAUGUCACUUCCUGUCCCAGUGCCUGAAGUUCAGGCCUCUCACGCAGCGUAGGAGAAAGAUGUCCGCUUUUUACUUCCGGAGAAGUAAACUUUAAAGAGGAUGUCCCUGCCUUGAGUCCCCAGGCCUCUCACGUGAAGAAGAAUCCCUCAUACACAGAGCACAGGAUGCCUGUGUUUUCCCUCCCCACCGUCCUUUCCUGCUGGUCUCGGCUCCCGGUUUACCGGGAGUUCUUCAGACCUCCGUGUGUGGCGUCAGGGAGCGCGCACAGAGCUGUUAAUGCAGAACAAAAUGGCCGCCUCUUAGGGUUUGUGGAGCCCGAUGAGGGAAUUACUGCCAGUUUAUACUCUGGGCCCUCACACAUGUCUUUCGUUCCGACAGCUCCAGUGGUUUUUAUUCCAACUGAUCUGCAACCCAUCCCGAAAUUGUUUCAGUAAGGCUCGCUCGGUCGUUCUGUCGGCAACAUUGCAAACUGCACGCCUGGGGGUGAGUGGAAGGGCUGCUCUGGUCUUUGAACUGGAAUGGAAGCCGGCUGUCACCUUGAGCCUCAACUCCCUUGUUUAUGCAGCUCUGUCAGAACUUUCCACCAGGACUCAGACCCCAUCCCUGGCCAUCCAGUCAUGGUAGGGAGGGCAGGUAUGUACAUUGUUAAAGAAAACAUGUAGCUUUGCGUUUUUAAAGAAGAGACACAUUAAAAAAUCAUACUCAGGGCGCCUGGGGGGCUCAGUCAGUUAAGCGUCUGACUUUGGCUCAGGUCAUGAUCUCGCAGUUUGCGGGUUCGAGCCCCGCGUCGGGCUCUGUGCUGACAGCUCGGAGCCUGGAGCCUGCUUCGGAUUCUGUGUCUCCCUCUCUCUCUGCUCCUCCCCUGCUCAAGCUCUGUUCUCUCUCUCUCUCAAAAACAAACUAAAAAAAUCAUACUCAAGUGUGGCUACAUUAUAAUUCCAAGCACAUUUCAGAAAGCCAUCUCUAUAGAGAAUAUUUUCCCACAAACAUGAUCAUUGCUAAUAAGAAUAUUUGACAUUGGUUAGAAAUACCAGGAGCUCUGGCUUUAAGGGGCAAUUUCUAAGGUUUAUGAAA
This 1238-nucleotide long non-coding RNA is filed under the name Felis catus (domestic cat). RNAcentral describes it as "lncRNA (ENSFCAG00000040349.2)". The stretch from base 874 to 958 matches the Rfam family "tRNA". Lineage: Eukaryota; Metazoa; Chordata; Mammalia; Carnivora; Felidae. The record is from RNAcentral.